RNAcentral lists this long non-coding RNA (1226 nucleotides) under Sparus aurata (gilthead seabream). Its description in RNAcentral is "lncRNA (ENSSAUG00010023599.1)". The record is from RNAcentral. Lineage: Eukaryota; Metazoa; Chordata; Actinopteri; Spariformes; Sparidae.
UCACAUAUGGUCAGUUACAUUUCUUGAAUGUGGCCCUGUGAGCAUUCCCAACGAAUAAACACCAUCUCUUUCUUUUCCAGAUCCCCCUAAGAACACCUCAGUUUCCGUCGAGCCCCCCGGUCCAGUGCAGGACGGCAGCUCUGUGACUCUGACCUGCACAACCGUCGCCAAUCCAGCAGCGGUUAACUUCACCUGGUUCCGAGUGGUGGGCAGAGAAAAUGAGCCGGUGGGCUCUGAGCGAGACUUCACCUUCAACGUGACCAAACUCUCAGAGGAUCAGUUUUACUGCGAAGCUCUGAACGUCCACGGAGCUGAACUCUCAGAGCCUGCCAGUUUCGACGUCACAUUUGCUCCAGAGAUCCUGCUUUCCUCCCGCUGCAUCAAGAUUUUAUCCCAGGUCCGAUGUUCCUGUGACAGCCAGGCGAACCCCCCUCCCUCCCUGCUUUGGGAGUUAGCCGGAGAGCCUGUCAAUCACUCUGCGGACAUCCCGAUCCAGGAAGUUCCCCUGGGAGACCUGAGCAUGAGGAGCGUCAUCACCUUGUACCGCCUGGACGAACACAUGCCCUCUCUCGUCUGCGUCAGCAUCAACUCGCUGGGCUCUGAUAGUGUUGUGUUCAACGUGACCGCCAGUGAAACUCAGCUAGGUAGAGGAAUGUUUGAAGUGUUGCAUUUACACUUGGCUUUUCUUCUGUGUGAUCUGCCCCUCCUUGGUUUGACUGAUGGAUGAAAUGGUUUGUCGGGACUUUUCAGGUCUCCACACUGUGUCUCUGUUGAUCGGCUCUGCAGUAGGAGCUCUGGGGAUGCUGCUGGUGUGUGUCCCGCUGCUGCUUUUCUACUGCAGGAAAAGGAAAGGCAGCCUUUCACCUGACAAGGGACCGGUGGACACUUCGGACAUUUUAGCUAAUGGGAAAAGCUCUUCACCAGUGGAUGUGAUCUAUGCCAAUGCAGCCAUUGUAGAACAGGAAGCUGCAGCUAACGAGGACUCUAUCCACUACGCCAACGUGACUUUUGCUAAACUCCAGGCCAACUCAGAGAGCAAGCUCAGUGAGGGCGAGAUCCGAGGCCUGGACUCCAAGACCGGGGAGUACGCUCAGAUCCGUUUGAAGCCCAAGGAACGCAGGGGAGGAGAUGCAACAAAUGGAGAGACAGCUGCUGAUACUCAUCUGGGUCAAGAGAAAGACACUGAUGGUCUCAUAGGACAGGUCAGUGAAAAGGUUUUGGCUUAA